UCUCCGCAAGCUGUAGUUGCUUUCCCCCCUGCUUGUAAUCUGAUCGCCACCACGUCACCCUUUCCGUUCUCCAUACAUCUCCGGUUCUCCGCUUCCAUUUUCCCUUCUCUCUCUUUCUCUAGGGAGAUAAAAGACUCGCCGUUGGCUCACGUGAGAAAUGGGAGGCCGCGGCAACCACGAUCUCCGCCUCGAAUCCUAGAGAAAGGAGGGAUUUUGGGAGGAAAAGAGUGCGAGCGAUCGCUUUCUUCCCUUGUUUGUCGGGUUUCUCUUCUCCUUUUCUGUCUCUUUGUGGGUGGUUUCGUGGAUGGUGGCGAUGGAGGAGAGCGCGGAGAGUUGCGGCAGUCGGGCGGCGGACGCGGCCCAGGCGUCGCAGCCGCGGCAGCAGCAGCGGCGCAAGCUGGAGGCCUACAACGAGGCGCUCCGCCGCCUCAGGGAGGCCGGGCGGCCGGAGGCCCUGUCGCCGUCCUUCGAGGACGAGCUCUGGGCCCACUUCAAUCGCCUCCCGGCCCGCUAUGCUAUGGAUGUGAAUGUGGAGAGGGCAGAAGAUGUUCUGACACAUAUGAAAUUGUUGGAGCUGGCGCAUGAUCCUGCCAAUAGGCCUGCCUUUGCAGUUCGAUUAGUUCAGGUGUCCCCAGUUCUUGAUGGAAAGCGAGCUGAUUUUUUUGAUUCCAGCAAACCAGGGGAGGAAGAUGCUCAAUCUACUUCAAAUUAUUUUAUCAGGCAAAGCAGUCACCCCCCUCCGGCCUUUGGCUCAUCACCAAAUCUAGAGGCACUUGCCCUUGAAGCCAGCAAGCAAUAUCUUCAAGAUGGAGAUGAUGCUAGAAAUGCCUUUGCACUCUUUCCCAGCAGGCCCAUGCAUGAAAUCACCUUUUCAACUGAUGACAAGCCAAAGCUUCUCAGUCAGCUGACUGCGUUGCUUGCUGAGGUUGGCCUUAACAUCCAAGAAGCACAUGCAUUUUCAACAAAUGAUGGUUACUCGUUAGAUGUGUUUGUCGUUGAUGGCUGGCAUUAUGAGGAAACGGAGCAGCUCAGGGAUGCAUUACAGAAGGGACUUCAGAAGAUUGAGAAGCAGGCAUGGUCAAAGACGUGUUCAUGGUCUCCUAUAUUGGAAACUGCACAAACUGGGGAGGUGUCUCAACCAGACCAUGUCCAAAUACCUACAGAUGGGACUGAUGUGUGGGAAAUUGAUUUCAAGCUGCUGAAGUUUGGAAAUAAAGUGGCAUCUGGAUCAUAUGGUGAUCUUUACCAUGGAGCAUAUUGUAGCCAGGAUGUUGCUAUUAAAGUACUCAAGCCUGAGCAUGUAAAUGCAGAUAUGCAGAGAGAAUUUGCUCAGGAAGUCUAUAUUAUGAGAAAAGUUCGCCACAAGAAUGUCGUGCAGUUUAUUGGUGCAUGCAGCAAACCUCCAAACUUAUGUAUUGUUACAGAGUUUAUGCAAGGUGGAAGUGUGUAUGACUUUCUUCAUAAACAGAAAGGUGUUUUUAAGCUUCCAGCUUUGCUUAGGGUAGCAAUUGAUGUAUCGAAGGGAAUGAACUACUUGCACCAGAAUAAUAUUAUCCACAGGGACCUAAAGGCUGCCAAUCUUCUGAUGGAUGAAAAGGAGGCUGUCAAGGUUGCAGAUUUUGGUGUUGCACGUGUUAAAUCACAAUCUGGAGUUAUGACUGCUGAAACGGGAACAUAUCGUUGGAUGGCCCCUGAGGUCAUAGAACACAAGCCCUAUGAUCACAAGGCUGAUGUUUUUAGCUUCGGAAUUUUGCUGUGGGAGCUGCUAACAGGAAAGCUUCCAUAUGAGUACCUAACACCGCUACAAGCAGCAGUAGGUGUGGUUCAAAAGAUGGUGGCGAUUUCUGCUCUUUGCAGGGCCUGAGACCAACCAUACCAAAGCAUACCAAUCCUAAACUUGCUGAACUGCUUGAAAAAUGCUGGCAGCAGGACCCAGCUCAAAGGCCAGACUUUUCAGAAAUAUUGGAGAUACUCCAGUUUUUAGCCAAGGAGGUCGCUGAUGAACCUGAGGAUCGUCGCAAGGAAAAGUCAUCGGGCAGGUUUCUCUCAGUUCUGAGGCGGGGCCACUGAAGGAGAGAUGUCCGCGAAUCAUCAUUUGUAUGAUCUCAUCAUGGGCAAUUUCCAGUCCUUGGUAGGAUUAUACCUUAAGCUGUACAGUAUUUAAUUUGACGACCUAGUUUUUUGUUCCUAAAUUUUGAGUUGCAAUUCUUUUUACAUUUAACUGCUGCCAUGUCUAUUUUUUAUCAUAUUCGAAUGGAAUGUCAUCAAAAGUGAUCAUCUCUUCCCA
Molecule: non-coding RNA, 2287 nt
Organism: Phoenix dactylifera (date palm)
Lineage: Eukaryota; Viridiplantae; Streptophyta; Magnoliopsida; Arecales; Arecaceae
Source: RefSeq, a predicted model, not a curated record